Molecule: long non-coding RNA, 260 nt
Filed under: Nicotiana benthamiana
Lineage: Eukaryota; Viridiplantae; Streptophyta; Magnoliopsida; Solanales; Solanaceae
Description: long non-coding RNA (NBEN_LNC023645)
Source: RNAcentral
UAAAAAUCUUGUUAUAAUUCAGAAAAAGUAUACACUGUACAAUCGAUUGUAUACACUCCAGUAAGAUGAAAUGUUUUUAAAUUAUACCUGACAAUCGAUUGUUUGGAUUUGAAAAUCGAUUGUCUGGUCCAGUAACUUAGAAAAAUUUUUCCUUGUCACAUCCAGUGACUUAAAAUUUUCAGAAAAAACCAAACAAUCGAUUGUCUGUUUUGACAAUCGAUUUUCUGGUCCAGUAACUUAGAAAAUUUUUUUCUUGUCUC